RNAcentral lists this transfer RNA (87 nucleotides) under Bacillota bacterium. Its description in RNAcentral is "Firmicutes bacterium (subsurface metagenome) tRNA-Leu". It matches the Rfam family "tRNA". From Rfam's summary of the family: Transfer RNA (tRNA) molecules are approximately 80 nucleotides in length. Their secondary structure includes four short double-helical elements and three loops (D, anti-codon, and T loops). Further hydrogen bonds mediate the characteristic L-shaped molecular structure. tRNAs have two regions of fundamental functional importance: the anti-codon, which is responsible for specific mRNA codon recognition, and the 3' end, to which the tRNAs corresponding amino acid is attached (by aminoacyl-tRNA synthetases). tRNAs cope with the degeneracy of the genetic code in two manners: having more than one tRNA (with a specific anti-codon) for a particular amino acid; and 'wobble' base-pairing, i.e. permitting non-standard base-pairing at the 3rd anti-codon position. The record is from RNAcentral. Lineage: Bacteria; Bacillati; Bacillota.
GCCGAAGUGGUGGAACUGGCAGACGCGCUGGACUCAAAAUCCAGUGAUGGCAACAUCGUGUGGGUUCAAGUCCCACCUUCGGCACCA